AGAGUUUGAUCAUGGCUCAGAUUGAACGCUGGCGGCAGGCCUAACACAUGCAAGUCGAACGGUAACAGAAAGCAGCUUGCUGCUUUGCUGACGAGUGGCGGACGGGUGAGUAAUGUCUGGGAAACUGCCUGAUGGAGGGGGAUAACUACUGGAAACGGUAGCUAAUACCGCAUAACGUCGCAAGACCAAAGAGGGGGACCUUCGGGCCUCUUGCCAUCGGAUGCCCAGAUGGGAUUAGCUAGUAGGUGGGGUAAAGGCUCACCUAGGCGACGAUCCCUAGCUGGUCUGAGAGGAUGACCAGCCACACUGGAACUGAGACACGGUCCAGACUCCUACGGGAGGCAGCAGUGGGGAAUAUUGCACAAUGGGCGCAAGCCUGAUGCAGCCAUGCCGCGUGUAUGAAGAAGGCCUUCGGGUUGUAAAGAUUUUUCAGCGGGGAGGAAGGGAGUAAAGUUAAUACCUUUGCUCAUUGACGUUACCCGCAGAAGAAGCACCGGCUAACUCCGUGCCAGCAGCCGCGGUAAUACGGAGGGUGCAGGCGUUAAUCGGAAUUACUGGGCGUAAAGCGCACGCAGGCGGUUUGUUAAGUCAGAUGUGAAAUCCCCGGGCUCAACCUGGGAACUGCAUCUGAUACUGGCAAGCUUGAGUCUCGUAGAGGGGGGUAGAAUUCCAGGUGUAGCGGUGAAAUGCGUAGAGAUCUGGAGGAAUACCGGUGGCGAAGGCGGCCCCCUGGACGAAGACUGGCGCUCAGUGCGAAAGCGUGGGGAGCAAACAGGAUUAGAUACCCUGGUAGUCCACGC
Molecule: ribosomal RNA, 800 nt
Filed under: uncultured bacterium
Lineage: Bacteria
Description: bacterial SSU rRNA
Rfam family: Bacterial small subunit ribosomal RNA
Source: RNAcentral